Molecule: ribosomal RNA, 468 nt
Filed under: uncultured bacterium
Lineage: Bacteria
Description: partial 16S ribosomal RNA
Rfam family: Bacterial small subunit ribosomal RNA
Source: RNAcentral
GACGAACGCUGGCGGCGUGCUUAACACAUGCAAGUCGAACGGAAAGGCCCUGCUUUUGUGGGGUGCUCGAGUGGCGAACGGGUGAGUAACACGUGAGUAACCUGCCCUUGACUUUGGGAUAACUUCAGGAAACUGGGGCUAAUACCGGAUAGGAGCUCCUGCUGCAUGGUGGGGGUUGGAAAGUUUCGGCGGUUGGGGAUGGACUCGCGGCUUAUCAGCUUGUUGGUGGGGUAGUGGCUUACCAAGGCUUUGACGGGUAGCCGGCCUGAGAGGGUGACCGGCCACAUUGGGACUGAGAUACGGCCCAGACUCCUACGGGAGGCAGCAGUGGGGAAUACUGCACAAUGGGCGGAAGCCUGAUGCAGCAACGCCGCAUGCGGGAUGACGGCCUUCGGGUUGUAAACCGCUUUCGCCUGUGACGAAGCGUGAGUGACGGUAAUGGGUAAAGAAGCACCGGCUAACUACGUG